CCAGCAGCNCCGGUAAUACGGAGGGUGCAAGCGUUAAUCGGAAUUACUGGGCGUAAAGCGCACGCAGGCGGUCUGUCAAGUCGGAUGUGAAAUCCCCGGGCCCUUCUUGGGAACUGCAUUCGAAACUGGCAGGCUGGAGUCUUGUAUAGGGGGGUAGAAUUCCAGGUGUAGCGGUGAAAUGCGUAGAGAUCUGGAGGAAUACCGGUGGCGAAGGCGGCCCCCUGGACAAAGACUGACGCUCAGGUGCGAAAGCGUGGGGAGCAAACAGGAUUAGAUACCCUGGUA
Molecule: ribosomal RNA, 285 nt
Filed under: Enterobacter cloacae
Lineage: Bacteria; Pseudomonadati; Pseudomonadota; Gammaproteobacteria; Enterobacterales; Enterobacteriaceae
Description: partial 16S ribosomal RNA
Rfam family: Bacterial small subunit ribosomal RNA
Source: RNAcentral